CAAAAAAAAAAAUAAAAAUGGGAUGAGUGAGAAGGAGGUUGACCGUUGCCCCACAGUCCUAUGCUACCCUUCAGAACAUUGAUUCACUUUACGCACAUGCACAUAAAGUAUUUGUGAAAAUGUCACAAUGCCAGAGUGCAACAAGCAAGCGGUGACCAUGACAAACACGAUUAUCAAACCUCUGGUUCCAUUCUACACCAAUUUCUGUUCCCCUACACCCAAACUUUUAUCCAAAUUUCACUCCCCAAAGUCCCUGUAAUUGAAACAUCCAGAAAUUGUUCAAUAGUAUUAAAUAUUUUCACAAAAUAAUUACCCCUACAAAAUGUGACCAAAUUUUAAACUUAUAAGAAGUUUUGUUCACCUUCUCUUUAUUUCAUUCAAAAUUGCUGCCCACUUUCAAAACUUAGAACCCUUGCUUCUUCUUAUUUUCCUCUCAAUCUUCUUUUUUCUCUCUCUCACUCCGUGUUCCUCUUUCUCGCAGUAGGGUUUCCAGCCUCGAGGCUGAUUCGGAUUGGUUGGAGAUGGAAAAUUCCAAUUCGACGUAGUGUGUUCAAGUUGCCGUCAAAGUUUGGCCUCUGAUUACGUCGGAGCUUAUGCUUGGAUGCACCGAUUGCAUCUCCGUGGUUCCUGGUGAACCUCAGACUUGUGCAGGGGCUGCCAUCCUAACAGACAUUGUAUUUUGGGUUUGGGGUGUUAUAGUCCCAUUCUUACAAAUUCCUCACUUAAGACUAAGCCCACCAUUUCCUUGAUUUAGAGUCUCCUAUUUUGUUCUCUGGAGCUGUGGCUACGUCAUUUUUCAAUGGGUCAUCCACGCCUUUGGUUUUAAAUGGUACAAUAACUAUGUUUCCUUCCUUUCCAUUAUCAGCCACAAGCUUUGUUCUACAACAUUAGCUGUAAGCAUAUGUUGUUGUUCCCAAACGGGUGGCCAUAUCCCUUUCUGGAGCUUAAUAACAAGUGGGCUCCUAUAUGGUAUUUGUGCUUGGCAGUAAUUCAUGCCCCUUGCUAUGGCGUGUAUUAUCUUAUAGUGCGAGACAAAAAUACGAUUCUCCCCAGAUUGUUCCCUCAAGCAUUUUUGUCACAGGACGUUCCAGAGUAUGAAGGAAUCCUCAGACUAUGAAGCAUGUUGAGAAAAGGAAAAUGUCGGUGGAAUUAUACCCAAGGUGGUGGAGACAAUAUUCAAGAGGGUUCAGAUUAUGAAGGAAUCCUCAGAGUUUUUUAUUAGGGUAUCUUUUAUCGAGGGGGAUUUGUGGGCUCUCAUUCGCAAACAAGGGAUGUCUUCUUCACAUUGUUGAACAUAAUGGGGUAGCAUACGGGGUUAAUAUUGAAACAAGAGAGCUUUUAAAGGAAUUUAAAAUCACAAAAAAGUCUAUUACUUCUCUGGCUUUCUCGCAUGAUGAAAAAUAUUUAGCUAUUGUCAGCUCUAGACCACGGGUUAUAAGCUGGGAAAUUGGGGAAGAGAUUUUGAAGUUCCCUAAUGAUUUGAUCAACAUGAGGCUGUUGAAGGAGUCCUUCUUGAUGAUGAUUUGAAUGAGCCAACAAUGGGAGAGAAACUUGCUAGUCUAAGUGUUCUGGAUGGGAACAAAUCAAGGAGUGAUAUAGAGCAAGAAUCUUCUAUCCCAGCAAAGUCUCCAAGUGCAGACUCUGUACAUGUUUUGCUUAAGCAAGCAUUAAAUGCUGAUGAUCGCACCCUUCUGCUAGAUUGCUUGUUUACACAAAAUGAGAAGGUUGUUGUAACUUUUCAAAGGCCAUGUUGUAGCAGAUCUCUAACUUUGUGCAGCAUAAUAAUAAGCUCAUGUAUAUUUAAUUAAAAAUUAUAAUCAACAAAGAGUGUAAUUAGUAACUAUUUUUAUUAUUAUUAUAUGACAUUUACCUACAGAAGACCAUAGGUACAAGUAAAUUGACUUUUACCUACAGUUAGAGAUUAUAGGUAUAAAUUAAUAUCUUUUACCUACACAUUUGAAAUAGUAGGUGUUACCUAUAGUGAUAGUUAAAUUUGACUGUAGGUAAAAAUAUGUCCGUAGGUAAAGCCUAUAGUGACAGACUAUUAGUUGUCACUGUAUACCCCUCAAAGUUGACGCAAAAAAAUCUGUAGGACAAAGUCCUUUAUACAUCUACCUACGGAUUUUGGACUUCUAGUGAUAGAUUUUGACUGUAGGUAAAAGUCAUUUUCCUUGUAGUGAUUUAUUAAUUUAUGCCUUUUAGUCUUUGAUACAAAUGUUACGAAGACAGUUUUAUAAAAAUCGCCUUUGUUUGUAAGCCUAUUACUAUGGUUUUUUAAAAAAAUCGCUCAUUUGUAAUUA
Molecule: RNA transcript, 2300 nt
Organism: Glycine soja
Lineage: Eukaryota; Viridiplantae; Streptophyta; Magnoliopsida; Fabales; Fabaceae
Exons: 9
Source: RefSeq, a predicted model, not a curated record